GCAACAUGGGUGGCGAUGGCAUUAGUUAAGGGAAAAGCCAACCCUAUAGUUUUCGGAAGAGCUCCGCUAAGAAUAAAAGAUGUUUAAAGGUUUGAAAAAGGUGUUUUCAAAGUGCUAAGCACCCCCCGGAUAGGCAUAAGAGCGCAAACACGACCGAAGGCUCCGCCCCAUGGCUGUAUCCGACCGUCUGAAGGACCGUCUGAAGGACCGACCGAAGGACCGUCUGAAGGACCGACCGAAGGACCGUCUGAAGGACCGAACCCAACUCCAGACUCUCGGAAAACCUCCAGCGCGGUACUUACCGUCCCACGGACGACCCCGUACACGAGCACUUUCCCUAGGGACCACUCCUGCACACACACGCUAUCACAAACAGUAAAUAAAUUCACUUGUUUAAUACUUAAACAGCCUUGUGUCUGUCUGUGCUCCAUCCACUGCUGGCUAAACUCGCUACGUUACAUUUUAUCAAGUGUUAUAUGAGCAUUUUUUCUCUCGUUACUGAUAAAGGUGUACCGUUGAUAAAUACCGAUACUGUUUUAUUGCCCAGCCCCAAUAAAAACUCUUUAAAAUCGUCAGUAAAGUUUUGGCCAUCAUUCAGAUGGGGUCAGAUCCCUGCUGCACGCGCUCGCUCAAGGUUUCAGCUCGAUGAUGAUAAACGGACAGCAGGAAGUGAGAGUCAGCCUGAUGGUCAGCGGAGAUGGGGAGGCAUAAAAAGUGAGAUGACCAUGGAAAGGGACACUGAAACUCAGGGGUAUGAAGGCUUGCCUCAAACAGAAACAGAAGGCAUAAAUUAAAAGGAUAUUAAUGUAGCUGAACUCCUUCGUCGUUCAGAACGUCCACGUAGAAAAUGCUUGCUUACCAGAAAGAUGAAUGCAGUCUAUUGUCACACCUCCAGCCCCACAAAGAGGUAUGCUGAGUUUUCUGGGACUUACAGACUAUUGUCAUUAGUUAAUUCCUGACUGCUCACAACAUGACAAAAUUCUCAGACACUGUUGUCUCAAGGACUCUCCACAGAACAUUGAAUGGACUAAGGAGAUGAUGAACUCUUUCUGUUAUCUAAGAAAGGCAUUAAGCUCAGCUCCAGCUCUGGGAAUCCUGGACUCAUCCCCAUUCCACCUUGGUCGCUGGUUAGGCGGCGCUGUCCCUGAGAGAUAUGGAAACCCAGAUACUGGGCCAGUGUCUGACAGAGCUGAAGUUUAGUUAGCGAGGCCUUGAAACCACAUUGAGCCAGAUAAGGCCUGAUGUACCAUGGACAAGAACACAGCGGGGGAGCUGUAUGGUGCUGUGUGCUGUAGGGAGAUACUGUAUGAAUGACCAUGCCCUGCGCGAGUAAAGAAUCAAUCACCAAAUGUAUGCCUAAGUCCUUUUCUGCUGAUAGCGGAUACUGUUUGCAGUAAAUGGGCCAAGUAGUUUUGAGCAUAAGGGGUUACCUGAAUGAGUCCUACUUCAUUAGUAUGCUUUGCCCAUAAAGUUUUAGGCACGGCCGCUAAUGCUUCAGGCAGUGGAUACUCAGUCAGACUCGUGCUCGUCACGUGUGUGGAGAAGCUCUCCUCAUUUACUAAUAGAUGUGCCAUCAGCACAGCGACAGCAGUGCCAUCAAAGAGACAAUCUCCCAGAUGAAAAUUGAUGGAGAACUUUUGCCAACCCUUUUUUUUGGCAACUUUUGCCAAUAGCCAGGAAUGUCAGGAAUUUGUUAGCCAGUAUUUGUUUGACUAUAAAGUUUGACUUGUUAAAAGCUAUAGCUGCUCAGCUGUAUGCAUGGAAAUGCG
Long non-coding RNA from Ictalurus furcatus (blue catfish), 1769 nucleotides. RefSeq lists it as uncharacterized. The record is from RefSeq and is a predicted model, not a curated record. The transcript is spliced from 3 exons. NCBI's taxonomy places the organism in Eukaryota, Metazoa, Chordata, Actinopteri, Siluriformes, Ictaluridae.